This 497-nucleotide ribosomal RNA is filed under the name uncultured bacterium. RNAcentral's name for it is "partial 16S ribosomal RNA". It matches the Rfam family "Bacterial small subunit ribosomal RNA", at positions 28 to 507 of the family's 1533-position model. The record is from RNAcentral.
GAUGAACGCUGGCGGCGUGCCUAAUACAUGCCAGUCGAGCGAACGGACGAGAAGCUUGCUUCUCUGAUGUUAGCGGCGGACGGGUGAGUAACACGUGGAUAACCUACCUAUAAGACUGGGAUAACUUCGGGAAACCGGAGCUAAUACCGGAUAAUAUUUUGAACCGCAUGGUUCAAAAGUGAAAGACGGUCUUGCUGUCACUUAUAGAUGGAUCCGCGCUGCAUUAGCUAGUUGGUAAGGUAACGGCUUACCAAGGCAACGAUGCAUAGCCGACCUGAGAGGGUGAUCGGCCACACUGGAACUGAGACACGGUCCAGACUCCUACGGGAGGCAGCAGUAGGGAAUCUUCCGCAAUGGGCGAAAGCCUGACGAAGCAACGCCGCGUGAGUGAUGAAGGUCUUCGGAUCGUAAAACUCUGUUAUUAGGGAAGAACAUAUGUGUAAGUAACUGUGCACAUCUUGACGGUACCUAAUCAGAAAGCCACGGCUAACUACGUG